RNAcentral lists this ribosomal RNA (263 nucleotides) under uncultured bacterium. Its description in RNAcentral is "partial 16S ribosomal RNA". It matches the Rfam family "Bacterial small subunit ribosomal RNA", at positions 524 to 786 of the family's 1533-position model. The record is from RNAcentral.
UACGUAGGUGGCAAGCGUUGUCCGGAAUUAUUGGGCGUAAAGCGCGCGCAGGCGGUCCUUUAAGUCUGAUGUGAAAGCCCACGGCUCAACCGUGGAAGGUCAUUGGAAACUGGGGGACUUGAGUGCAGAAGAGGAAAGUGGAAUUCCACGUGUAGCGGUGAAAUGCGUAGAGAUGUGGAGGAACACCAGUGGCGAAGGCGACUUUCUGGUCUGUAACUGACGCUGAGGCGCGAAAGCGUGGGGAGCAAACAGGAUUAGAUACC